This 275-nucleotide long non-coding RNA is filed under the name Phascolarctos cinereus (koala). RNAcentral's name for it is "lncRNA (ENSPCIG00000023614.2)". The record is from RNAcentral. Lineage: Eukaryota; Metazoa; Chordata; Mammalia; Diprotodontia; Phascolarctidae.
AAAGAAGAGGUAUUUUCUAAAUUCUGCCAAUAUAUUUUUUCUAGGAUGCUAAGAAUUUACAGCUUGUCUUCAAUCAGAAUGAAGUCAUUGUCCCAGCCAUAUUAGUACCUUAAGAGUCGCUUAAGGCAAGAAGACCCAGAGCAAGCAAGACUGAAACAAAAAGCAAAGGAGGUAAGCAGAGCUGGAGAUCAUUACAUUUGACAUUUCAAGGCUUGAACCUAUUAAUUUUUUAUGCCUCGCUACUUGUAUAUCAUUAAUAAAAAUCUGACUAAAAA